Molecule: long non-coding RNA, 1285 nt
Filed under: Theobroma cacao (cacao)
Lineage: Eukaryota; Viridiplantae; Streptophyta; Magnoliopsida; Malvales; Malvaceae
Description: long non-coding RNA (TCAC_LNC004806)
Source: RNAcentral
CAAAAUACCCCCGUGAGACAUAAAUCAAUUUUUUUUAUUGUUUUAAGUUGAAAAUAGCUUAAAAUCCUUUAGAACAUGAUAUUUGGCAACGGUUACUCACAGGGAAAAUGAGAAACUGAUAUUAAAGCCUUGCAGGAUUUCGGUUGGCAUUUCGGGUAAUAAGUGUCUAUCGGGACACCGCGGCGGUUGUCACGGGCUCGAGGGGAGUACCGGGUCUUGACACGUGGGCCCAUGAACGACCAAAGGUAUCAAAAGCGGUAAACCUACAGUUUUUGAGGAUGCAAGUCCAACUGUAGCCCUCAACAAAGUGAGCUAUCUACCGACUAUCUUGAGCCUGAAAUGGGUAGAAAUGAGGGUGGUGAGAUUAUAUAAUCCCAGUGAGUAAACAAAUACCAUCUAAAAUAUCUAAAGCUGAGUAAAUGGAGACAGAUUAAAAUAGAUCAUCAUAUUGUAAUUUAUCACCUUUCAACUCAUUUCAACCAAAUAAAAUCAAUUCAUAUUAAUCGAGUAAUCAACAUGGGUUAUGAAUUUCUUAAAACUUUGGCUCGUGCCAAAAUCAUUCUCAUACUCAGUUAUCAUGGAUACCUUGGCCUGGGGCUAUCCCAACCGAGUCCGCCAAGGCUGUUAAAUAAUUUUGUAUACACAUAAAAAUAUUUUUAUUUUGAAAACAUAGCCGUUCCUUGGCGUUGGCUGAGUUCACCCUCACGUGGUGGUUUGGCAUGAAGUGAACUUUAAAAGUGUACCUCAGGAGUUACCCUACACGCCUCUCCGACCAAGGUAAGAAUAUAACAGGGUUAUCGUGCCCCUCUAAUAAGCCGGUCCACGGAACUCGCCCACUGCAACAAGCUAAACCCACCAAUUCAAUAAAAUCUUAACCGCAUGACAUGGCAAUUAUAUCACAAUCCAGCCUCUCAAGGCUAAAUACACAAUUCAUAUAUUUUCAGCACAUUUACCAAUUUAGCCAUUCAUGCAAAUAUUGUCAUAAGCCAUUCGAUUCAAACCAUGAAUUUACAACACAUGAAAACAGUCUCCAAUUACUCUAUUUUCAAAACCAUCAUUCAAUCUCAAGACAAUUUUAUAAAAUUAUUUUCAUUUAAUCUCAUUUUGCUUAUAAAACAUAAAGAUUUACCAUUUAAACUCAUUUUUCAUAAAAUCACAAAAUCGGAUGAAACCACUUUAGAUAAUUAAAAGCUAGUAAGGUUACUCACUAUUUCGGGAGUCGAAUUCCGAGUACUUCGAUUCUUGAUCCUCGGGUACUAUCUCUUUACUUUUGCCAAAAUGCUCA